RNAcentral lists this ribosomal RNA (497 nucleotides) under uncultured bacterium. RNAcentral describes it as "partial 16S ribosomal RNA". It matches the Rfam family "Bacterial small subunit ribosomal RNA", at positions 28 to 507 of the family's 1533-position model. The record is from RNAcentral.
GAUGAACGCUGGCGGCGUGCCUAAUACAUGCAAGUCGAGCGAACGGACGAGAAGCUUGCUUCUCUGAUGUUAGCGGCGGACGGGUGAGUAACACGCGGAUAACCUACCUAUAAGACUGGGAUAACUUCGGGAAACCGGAGCUAAUGCCGGAUAAUAUUUUGAACCGCAUGGUUCAAAAGUGAAAGACGGUCUUGCUGUCACUUAUAGAUGGAUCCGCGCUGCAUUAGCUAGUUGGUAAGGUAACGGCUUACCAAGGCAACGAUGCAUAGCCGACCUGAGAGGGUGAUCGGCCACACUGGAACUGAGACACGGUCCAGACUCCUACGGGAGGCAGCAGUAGGGAAUCUUCCGCAAUGGGCGAAAGCCUGACGGAGCAACGCCGCGUGAGUGAUGAAGGUCUUCGGAUCGUAAAACUCUGUUAUUAGGGAAGAACAUAUGUGUAAGUAACUGUGCACAUCUUGACGGUACCUAAUCAGAAAGCCACGGCUAACUACGUG